AGCUUUGAUUUGUUUAGGACCGCGGCGACGAUGAUGAAACACAUCUCAUCCUUACAGAACUCUGCCCGAGUUUCCCAGGUUUGGAUGGGAGUCCAGCAAGACCUCAGGGCAGCAAGGAAGACCCGGAGGGACUGUCAGCAUUGCACACUGACAGGGUUGCUUGUGGACUGCACAGGAGCCUGAGCUGAGGCAAAGAUGGAUUGAGACGAGAUGGCAGAGAGGGGCAGGAAAAACAAACAAGCGAAAGGCCACCUAGUCGUGCUUGCUGAAGUCAGGGGCCAGCCCACUCUGCUCCUGUACCCAGAGGCUGAGCUUAGUGCCCCUGUCUUCUGCUUCCCAUCGUCGCAUCUGCAUAUGCUGCUGUGUGCAUCCUCUCUCUCAACCAUUUGUGCUUGAGUAACAUCAUCCUUCAUUCGGAGUUUGACCUUGAUUCUGAGCAGAUAUUCCAGCAUAUUCACUCCCUAAUUGUUUAGAGACGAUGCUAACUAAAAUGCCUUGAAAAUACGGAAACACUGCCAUUAGCAGAUCGUUCUGAUGGAUUAUGGGACACCUUUGCCUCCCCUAAGUAGCGGCUAGCUCUAUCAGUAGGAGACUUCAUCGCACAGUUCACCAUCGCAGUCCCAGUACUCCCGACCCAGAUGAACCAGGGAUGUGCAGCAAGGGUGCUGUAUUGAAGACUCAGACAAGUUGGCCUUGAGCUAUUUGUCUCUGAGCCUUGGGUGUGUUUCCUGAAGAAACUGAGUGUCUUCCUCGUGUUCUUAGAGACGAGAGCCGGGCUCUGAUGUGUAUCGGGCUGAGUGAGCCGCCUGAAGGACCAGAGUGCUACAGAUGCUCAUCUAUCAGAUUCCUCCAGCCUCUCAGAAUCUGUAAUCCCAAACCAAACCACGUGAGGUGUGUCUGCUGUUAAAGGUACCUCCUGGUUAAUGUGACGAUGCGCCCGAGUUACAGUGGCGGACAGAGCCUGGAAAACCCCACAGGGCUCUCUUCCGUCUAGACAAAGGCUUAGGAUCCAGCCCUUGGCGUUCAGGUGAUACCAUGGCUGAGUGAUGGAGGUGUACCUCAGAGAAGCAGCAUCAGGAUCCAUGGUUGACCAACCUGGGCCGUUCAAGUCUGUGCCCUCUCCACAAGGGGAUCUAUUUUACGAGGAUAUACACAGUGGCCUCCCAGCCUCCUUUGUCACAAAUCCACACUGCCAAUGUGACAAAGCUGCUUCUGAAGACAGCAGAAUAUAGUCCUUAGUCUUCACUGGCCCACAGGGUCCAUUCACAAAACUCCCAUUCAUUUUAUGAAAAAGGAUAACGGGAGCAAGACAUCGCAUACCUUUAGACGGAACCAUGCAGAGAAGUUAAAUUUUCUCAAUGUUUACCUUUCCUCGGGACGUGAAUUAGGUGGGAAUAGGUAUACUUUGCGUGGUCUGCUGAGAACACCAACACUACAGAAACAAAGCAUUAAAGGGAGCCAGCUUAAGGUAAGCCCUGUUGGCAUAGUUCUGUUAGUCACAGCAAUGACACCAGAGCUGGGUGGAAACUGUGACAAAGGGCAUGGCUGACUCCCCUACACAUUCGAAGCAGAGAGAGUGUUUAAGGAAGUGCCAGGGCACAGUGUACGGGAGCACCCUCAAGUCUGCGGUGGGUAGCUCGUACAAAAUUCUUUUUUAUGUAUGUGAGUACAUGGUUGCUGUCUUCAGACACACACCAGAAGAGGGCAUCAGAUCCCAUUAUGGGUAGUGGUGAGCCACCACUAUGUGGCUGCUGUAAUUGAACCCAGGACCUCUAGAAGAGUGGUCAGUGCUCUUAACCGCUGAGCCAUCUCUCCAGCCCACAAAAUUCUUUCUGAAGCAGGAAAAGGUGUGCAGAGGAAAGAGCUUGCUAGGCUAAGUUGGUAAUGGGCGGCGUCCAGUGUGAGGACAACCCAGCAUCGGUUUGCAGCCCGCUUGCACCCUACAGCCCUCCACAAAAGCGAUUCUGCAGUUCCUCUGUAUUGUAUAUAGUGUCAGCUUUGAAGCUGAUUAGCAAAGACAGAAACCAGAGGAAUAACACGUCUGUCUCAGACAAGGGCAACGUUACCUUCAUAAUAGGCAGGUCCUCCUCCUCACGGGGAGUCAUUUCCACCUGGACCUUCAGCGAGCAAGGGAGGAAACAGAGAAAAUGUCAGUACGUUGCUCUUGCCUCUGGAGCCUCGUUGGUGGGUACAUGGGGCUCCCUGGUGGAUGGACGUAACCAGUUGACACAGGGAGACUUGGUGGCAGCUCACACAUACUUCCACCAUGAAGGAGUUAAAAACCGUUCACAAACGAGAAAAGAAAAACAGAUACAAAAAUGGAGUGGGUGGGAUGCUCCAUUACAGGUAGAUGAAGCCACGAUUUAGCAUCUUCCAAUGUCCACUGGUCAGUGGAGAGCCACCACUCUCCCCCACCCCCAGCUCUAUCCCGACACUGCCUAAUUCUUCAGCAACUCUCAGGUGUGGAACGUGGACCAUAGAUGGUGGACUCUUACCGAGUCCACUAGUGAUGUGACCGACCAGGGAAGAUCCUCAGAAAGAAAAUGUACCGUGUGACCCCAUAGCCAUUCAGCAUCAGCAGAACAGGCUCUGGGCAAAGAUCAGCCCUGGGCCGCCUGAUUAUCUCAUCCCUGGCUCCACCCAGGCCUGUGGGACAGUGAACAUCAGAUGGACUGGAGGGGAGGGAAUAGGGUUAAUCCCGUAUCCCGUACUUGAAGUCAGACUUCCAGGCUGUAUUCUUUUUGAAAUCAGAAAUAACUCAAACUGUCAAGUGUGUUCUUGGCAUUUUUGGCCUCAAAGUUGUUCUGUUGUACCUUAUUUCAGGGUGCUUUUCACAGUCUCAGUAUGAAACCUGGUUCCCAGAGUCAGUCAGUGCUCAUUCUGCCCACAAGGCCGUGGGCUGUCUCUAUAGAUGUUUCAGGUGUUCUGCACAUCUCAUGCCGACAGGUCUACACCACAUUGCACGAUCUGUCAGUUUUAGUGUCUGUUAGUCAGAUGCACUGAGGAUUCAUCUGUGUUGUGGUGUGCACCUGUGCUGUACCUGAGCUACACCUGUGCUGCAUCUGCUCUGCACCUGAGCUACACCUGAUCUACACCUGUCCUGCACCUGUAUUGCACCUACAUACAUCCUGCACCUGUCUGCAUCUGAGCUACACAUCCUGCACCUGAGCUACACCUGUGCUGCACCUGCACUGCACCUGUAUUGCCAUCCUGCACCUGAGCUACACCUUCACUUCACCUGUGCUGUACCUGUAUUGCACCUGUGCUGUGCUUGCAUUGCACCUGAGCUGCACCUGAGCUAUACCUGUGCUGCACCUGCACUGCACCUGGGCUGUACAGGUGCUGCACCAACCUGUGCCUCUUUUAUGGCUGUAGUUUUGUUUUCUCAUAUAUCAGUUGAUAACAAUGGCUUCUUCCCACAGCUUGUCUAUUCUAGGUAGUGGCAUGGUGACCAUGUGACUUCUAUUUCUCCUGGGUGUAUGAAUUGCUGAGCCACAUGGUAGCUCUUUGACAUUUUCAGAACCGGCAUAGCCAUUCUUCUUAGGUAUCCCCAGCAAUGUACCCGAGAUUCUGUUGCUCCCCUCCCCCAUCACUGUCUGUAACACAUCUUUUCCCCCUUCUGUCUAUAGCUGGGUUGUUCUUCAGUGACCCUCUACAGGUGAUAAAUGACUUUUGUCAGCUCUCUGCCUCUCUUGACCCCAAUCAUAUCAAUUUGUUGUGAGUUUUAUCAUGUUUUUGGCUUGCUAAUGCCUGGUUGAAGGUUUAAUGAAGAUCUUUUAAUGAAGAUCUGAGGGCUGAGGGCUCUUCCUGGUUCACAAAUUCUUGUCAUCUCUUCCUAGAUUCUCUUUCCACCCAUCCCCCAUGUGCCUGGUAGCUUACUUAUCAUUACGUAUCUUUACCACGGGUUUGACUUGAUGCUUGUUCAUGUAUUUCUGCUGACUAUGACUUGGCACUGAGUGAUGUAUAAGCUCUUUCCUCUGCUGGGUCAAAUCUGCUGUUUAGGGAAGUCAUAGACUGAACCAUGUUCUCCAGUGUUCAUGUCAAAUGUUCGGUAUUAGUGACCAGGCCUUUAUUUGAGAAUCGGUUCCUGUACUGGCUAGAAAGGAGCUUUAGUUGGGGAAGUGCCUCCAUGAGAUCCAGCUGUGGGGCAUUUUCUAGGUUGGUGAUCAAGUCAAGCCGGGGGGGGGGGGGGGGCGGGUUUGGCAGUGUGGGUGGGGCCAUCCCUGGGUUGGUUGUCUUGGGUUCCAUAAGAGAACAAGCUGAGCAAGCCAGGGGAAGCAAGCCAGUAAGUAACAUCCUUCCAUGUCCUCUGCAUCAGCUCUUGCCUCCUGACCUGCUUGAGUUCCAGUCCUGACUUCCUUUGGUGAUGAACAGCAGUGUGGGAAGUGUAAGCUUAAUAAACCCUUUCCUCCCC
RNAcentral lists this long non-coding RNA (4414 nucleotides) under Mus musculus (house mouse). Its description in RNAcentral is "predicted gene 9936". Lineage: Eukaryota; Metazoa; Chordata; Mammalia; Rodentia; Muridae. The record is from RNAcentral.